UCCCAGUGUAGCUGUUGAUGAGCUUUUACAAGAGUUUGACUAUUUAAUAAGGACUGCUUCUACUCCUCUUAUCCAUCAAACCAUAGCUCAGCAUCUUCAGAAUAGUAACUGUGAAGUAGAUCAAACUGUUCUGAAAGAACUAGCAUCUGCUCUUUGUAAGUCAAAUCCAGUUACAGCUUGUUUUGGUUGUGAUGGUCCACUUUCCACUGCAUGGAAGUGAAAGAUCUACUAUAAAAAAUAAUUCAAUAUUGUAGAACCUGCAGAAUAUGUUCUUGACUCACAGAAUAGGAAAUCAUUCCAAUACAUCCCUAUACUAAAAUCUUUACAACAAAUACUGAGUUGUGAAACUUUAUUGGAUAAAGCAAUUAAUUUAAAAACUCAUUAAGUCAAACCUGAUAAAACCCUGUAUAGAUCCUUCUAUGAGGGUAGUAAUUACAAAGAAAAUGUGGUGUUAUCACAGGACUGUGCUAUUUCACUGAUAUUGUAUGUAGAUGAUUUUGAAAUUUGUAAUCCGUUUGGUACUUCAAGGAAAAAACAAAGUCUUUGGGGUAUAUUGAACAUUGGGCAAUUUACCUGCCAGUUAUCACUCCUCUCUGUCAUCUAUAUAUUUGCCUGCCCUUAUUCAUAGUGAUGAUGUUAAGUGCAACAGUGUGUUGAAGCCUUUGAUAGAUGGAACAACAUGGAGUGUUUAUUUCUAAGUUGGGGAAAACCCUGAAAGGCUUAGUUCAUUGUGUAAUAGCAGACAACCUUGGGGCCCACAGUAUUGCAGGUUUUGUGGAAAAUUUCUCAGGAAAAUAUGUCUGCAGAUUUUGCACAGCAGAAAAUAUUGAUAUUCAAAUAAAAGAGGUCAAUUCAGGAGCUUUCUCUCUUAGGAGCAAGGAAAUUCAUACUUGUCAUCUCAAAGCUAUUGAUGAAAAUUCAUUGGCCAGUCAUUUUGGUGUGAAAAGGAAGUGUGUGCUGUCUCAAAAUCUGCCAUAUUUUAAUGAGACUCAGGGUUUCCCCCCAGAUAUAGUUCAUGAUCUCUUUGAAGGGAUUAUCCCUGUUGAAAUUGCCCUUUGUCUUAAUGUGUUAAUUUCCAAACAAUAUCUUACAUUAGCUGGUUUAAAUGAAGCAAUAAUAGCAUUUCCAUUUAAGUGGACUGAUAAGACAAACCGUCCCCAUCCUGUGCUACUCACCUACACAACAAAGAAAACAACUGGAGGAAAUGCACAUGAGAACUGGAGUUUGCUGAGAUUUUUUCCUCUCUUGAUUGGAUGCAGAGUUCCUCCUAAUGAACCAGCAUGGCAAAUCCUCUGUGAACUAAAGGACAUUGUUGAACUUCUUGUAGCACCAUAUCACACUGACGAAUCUGUUGCUUAUCUUGAUUUCAAGAUAUCUGAACACAGGACAGUAUUCCAAAAGUUUUCCCCAUCAAAGAAUUACAUCAUUAUUUGGAACACUAUCCACAGUUGAUACGUCAGUUUGGCCUGCUGGUUGCACUGUGGACUAUGAGAUUUGAAGCAAAACAGCUUCUUCAAAACAGCAGUCCGUCAAACAAACUGUUACAAAAAUGUAUUGUAUUCUUUAGCUCAAAGGCACCAAUUUCAGACUGCACACAGUCUGCUCAUGUGUCAACUUGCUAAACCAAUUUUGGAGGUUACAGAUGUUUCAAUACUUCACAUUGAUGUCAUUAAUCAGGAUAUUGCACUGGCAGUGAAACAGAAGCACCCAGAUAUCAUCAGUGUGAACCUUGCAAAAAAUGUCACCUACAACGGCUUCAACUACAGGACUGGAAUGGUGGUAGCCCAUGGGUCGCUGGCAGGACUUCCAGAAUUUUGUGAAAUAGUUCACGUGAUUGUUCUUCACAAGAGUCUUACUUUCAUUGUCAAAAAACUGGCUGCAUGGUACCUGGAACAUUAUCGAGCUUAUGACGUGGCCAUAUCUACUCCCAGAGAACUAAGGCUUGUUGAGGCACAUGAGCUGAGAGAUCAGUACCCUCUGGCUCACUAUAUGGUUGGUGGUCGGCGCCUCGUCUCCUUGAAGAGACACAUAUAUGCAUAAGGUUGGAUAUGUAAGGAUGUUGGGCUGGUAAUGUUUAAAUUACAUUUUUCAAUACAGUAUGUGGAAUGUAUUUUUUCAGGUGUGUGUGUGGGAUCAAUCUCAGUUGUUCUGUCAGACAAAACAACCUGUUGUUGUAGAGAUGUUCCCAUUUCAUGUCUAGGGUCCAGUGUGAGAUGGUAACACAAAAGGGAGAAUUACAUACAUUAAAAACAAAUCUUAACAUAUAAUAAUUUAAGUACUUUAGACUCUCAUUUUUCAAACUGAAAAUGCCACUUGUAGUGAAACAGUGUAACACUAACAAUUCCAUGCAAAUUCAGUAGAGCGCUUGGUUGCAUAAUUUACUACAAAGUAUUAAGUCUGUGUAGGUAAAUGUAUUAUUAAAAACAUGGUUGAAUUUAAUAUUGAAUAUAUAUGAGAUGUGGAAUAUAACUAAUACUUGCACUUAAACAGUUUUGAUUUUCUUUUUCUUUUUUUUUUACUAGAUCCAUUUGGAUGGGCUGCCAUGACAACGAAGAGGCCAGCUAAGUUGUGCAUUAUUCUGAAUCCUGAUGAUGUCAGGAAGCUAAUUUUGCCACAUGGAAUUUCAGAAACACUAGAAGAGCUUAUGGAUGAAGUCAGGAAAAUAUGUGGAUUAACUGAGAGUUUUAGGCUGCAGUACCAAGACAGAGAUUUUAGAGAUGCACUAGUAAACUUGACAUCUACUGCUGAACUUGAGGACUUAGCCACUGUCAAGGUUAUCCCAGUAACAGAAGACUGCAGGGAAACAUUUGAUCACUGUGUUCAUGACUCGCUGUCUGUUCGUUCAGAUGAUGCAGAGCUCCUGUCCUCAGCAUCUAGUUCAGUUUCUACAAGAACUCAAAUGUGGCCAAGAGAGUUUUGUAUACCAGUAUUCUCUUAUGACACUGAACUGCAGUUAGAAAAGGGAAAUACAGCAUAUAAAGCAAACAUGACAAGACUGACACUGAGCUCAAAAAUGAAGUCAGAUAUUCUGGAAAAGGUAGCUGAAGAGAUUUUCAAGUACAAAGCAUACCCAACAGAUUCUGACUUUUGUGAUGUUGCAGAAGCACUCAUUAGGAAGCAUCCAUGCCUCACUGAACCUGGGUCAUACAGCAGGUGCUAUGGAUGGAAGCAGAGACUGAAAACAAAGAUGGGCAACUACCGAACCCAACUUAAGGGCAUUGGGUGUUCUGAGUUGCUUGCAAAUUCACUGAAUUCCAAAGCUCCAGAUGAUGCAUUGCCAAUGAAGAAAGUAAAGAGACCAAGGCAAGGAAAGGCCAACCAUAUUCCUGACAUUCCAGUUGGAGAAACUCCAGGAAAACUGGAGAGUGAGAGAGUGACACUUUUAAGUGAAGUGAAAGAGAGAGAGGCAAUCACACAGUGAUAAAGGACAAAAUGGCCAAAACCUUCUCACUGAGAAGGCAAGAACACACACACACACACACACGUACAACCAAGAUCUGAUCUCAGAGGAGAACUGAACUGUGCUGGACACGGACACACACACACAUACAUAAUACACACGCACAAAAAAAAAAAAAAAAGAACUGAACUGUGCUGGACAGUCAGACACACACACACCAAAUUAUCCUGUUUGCACGUACAUGCCACUUUACAUUUAUAUAUAUUUAUAUUAAUGCUGUUUACAUGUGUCACUUUAAUAUCUGCAGUCACUGUAUACACUGUUCUUUGCACAUUGUCUUGUUCAUUGCACAAAGUCGGCCUAUAUGUUGUUUGUCUGCACUGUCUUGUCUUGUCUUGUCUUGUCUUGUCUUUUCUUCCUGUGCACUUCUGUUUUUUGUCUAGUUCUUAAAGACUGCACCUUAAGUAUAGUUUAAUUUUUAAAUUAUAGUUUAAUUUUUUUAUCUCUAUGUUUAGCUCUAUGUUUGUCUGCGUCACUGUACUUUGUCUGUGUUCUGUGUAGCACCUCUGCUCUAGGAGGAACGUUGUUUCACUUCACUGUGUACUGCAUCUGCUAUAUAUGGUUGAAGUGACAAUAAAGCUUCUUUGACUUUGACUUGAAAUUGUGGAGAAGGAAAUGGGAGUGGAGGAGCUGAGAGAGAGAUGGCCUGCAUUGUUCAGCAUGGAUGAGUCAGGUUGUACAAUUGGACUAGAUCAGUUUUGUCUGUGUGUCUCGAGCCUGGACGUGAAUCUAAGACGAGAGUGUCUGCUGAAGUGCCUUACUGUGUACUUGGGGGAGGACGUUGGCCAACUCAUUAAAGACUAUCUGGUUGUUCAGAAGGACAAAGCAGUAUCUGAACUUGAAAGGUGCACCAUGGCCGUGUUUGUCCUCAGGGAAGAAGGAAAUCCUCUCCAGGCACCACAGGAAAUUGGGAUUGUGAUUGAAGGUGUGGAAGUCCUUAAUGAGUUGCCAUCAGUCGCACAUGCAUUUGCUAUGUUGUUUGGCAUCAUCUAUGUGCUAAACCUGAGCUAUCCAAGUGAGCUCAGACACAUUUUUGAGGCUCUGCAGAAAAUAUUUAUGGAAACAGAGCCCAAAAAAAUGUCACGCAGGGUUUUCAGUCUCAGU
Molecule: long non-coding RNA, 4564 nt
Organism: Hemibagrus wyckioides
Lineage: Eukaryota; Metazoa; Chordata; Actinopteri; Siluriformes; Bagridae
Exons: 3
Source: RefSeq, a predicted model, not a curated record